UACAGAGGGUGCGAGCGUUAAUCGGAAUUACUGGGCGUAAAGGGCGCGUAGGCGGUUGCUCAAGUGAGAUGUGAAAUCCCCGGGCUUAACCUGGGAACUGCAUCUUAGACUGGGCGACUGGAGUACUGUAGAGGAUAGUGGAAUUUCCGGUGUAGCGGUGAAAUGCGUAGAGAUCGGAAGGAACACCAGUGGCGAAGGCGACUGUCUGGACAGAUACUGACGCUGAGGCGCGAAAGCGUGGGGAGCGAACAGG
This 253-nucleotide ribosomal RNA is filed under the name uncultured bacterium. RNAcentral describes it as "partial 16S ribosomal RNA". It matches the Rfam family "Bacterial small subunit ribosomal RNA", at positions 524 to 776 of the family's 1533-position model. The record is from RNAcentral.